This 680-nucleotide long non-coding RNA is filed under the name Sus scrofa (pig). RNAcentral's name for it is "lncRNA (ENSSSCG00065053779.1)". Lineage: Eukaryota; Metazoa; Chordata; Mammalia; Artiodactyla; Suidae. The record is from RNAcentral.
CUCUGGCUGCAGCAUCACCUGACACGGGGUUCCUGUCUGAUACUGUAUCUAACUCAGCAAUCACUGCACAACUUACCGUCUUGCUACAUACAUUUUGGUGGCGGACCGUGGUCCGCGCCCGGGCUGAGUUCUGUGUCAGCAUCUGAACGUCCUUCUCCUGGCUCGCAUUCUUCUAGCCGGCUGAGAGGUUGUCAGGAUCCUGGGUCAAGAGUGGUCCAGCAGGGACAGGUCCAUGGUGAGACUGGCUGUACUGCAUCUGGAGCAUCCUUCUGGUGGCAUCAAGGGAGACGCUGGUCCCAGGUGCAGCCUCCAAAAGAAAAAAAGAAGAAAAAAAAGAACAAGAAAGAAAGAAGCUUUGGGAAGAGACAGAGGAGUCAACGGUAGUAAGGGUUGCUGCAGGCAUUUGGACGUGACGUGGAGAUCGAGGCUUCUCUCUCCUUUGUGGAGGAAAGGAGGCUUUGGGGAGCAGAGAGGGAGAGUUGAGCUGGAUCUGGACACGGUUUCACAUCCCGGGAACUGUUGGCGUUUUGGACCAGAUCAUUCUGAGCCAUGGGGACUGUCCUGCGUUGUGGGGUGUGGAGCAGAUCCUUGGCCCCUGGUCACUAGAUGACAAGGAUGGCAGCCGCCUCUCUCCAGGCCGUAUCAAUAAAGGUGCCUCCAGGAGUUCCCUGGUGGCCUAG